This 104-nucleotide non-coding RNA is filed under the name Symbiodinium sp. CCMP2430. Lineage: Eukaryota; Dinophyceae; Suessiales; Symbiodiniaceae. The record is from RNAcentral.
UCCCUUCUUUUUCCUUUUAAUUAAAGUGAACAAAGAAGGAAGUGAGAAAGAGGAAGUCAUUCUAUUCCAACUGAAAGAAGAUAAGGAAAAGAUGGAAAACAAGA